This 106-nucleotide ribosomal RNA is filed under the name Caerostris darwini. The record is from RNAcentral. Lineage: Eukaryota; Metazoa; Arthropoda; Arachnida; Araneae; Araneidae.
AACGGCCGUACCAUGCUGAAUAUGCCGGUUCUCGUUAGAUCACCGAAGUCAAGCAUCAUUGGGCGCGGUCAGUACUUGGGUGGGUGACCACCUGGGAACACCGCAU